RNAcentral lists this ribosomal RNA (454 nucleotides) under uncultured soil bacterium. Its description in RNAcentral is "bacterial SSU rRNA". It matches the Rfam family "Bacterial small subunit ribosomal RNA", at positions 26 to 478 of the family's 1533-position model. The record is from RNAcentral.
AGAUUGAACGCUGGCGGCAUGCCUAACACAUGCAAGUCGAACGGGAGUAGCAAUACUCUAGUGGCGGACGGGCGAGGAAUACGUAGGAAUUUGCCCUUAAGUGGGGGAUAACCCGGGGAAACCCGGAUUAAUACCGCAUGACCUCGAAAGAGCAAAGUGGGGGAUCGCAAGACCUCACGCUUUUGGAGAAGCCUACGUCGGAUUAGCUAGUUGGUGAGGUAAUGGCUCACCAAGGCGACGAUCCGUAACUGGUCUGAGAGGAUGAUCAGUCACACCGGAACUGAGACACGGUCCGGACUCCUACGGGAGGCAGCAGUAGGGAAUAUUGGACAAGUGGGCGACAAGGCCUGACUCCAGCAAUGCCGCGUGUGUGAAAGGACGUCCGUUCGGUUGUAAAGUACAACUUUAAGUAGGGUAAAGAAAAAACGUCGACUACUAACACGAGUACGAGUAC